Molecule: long non-coding RNA, 441 nt
Organism: Cynoglossus semilaevis (tongue sole)
Lineage: Eukaryota; Metazoa; Chordata; Actinopteri; Pleuronectiformes; Cynoglossidae
Exons: 2
Source: RefSeq, a predicted model, not a curated record
ACUUGUUCCUGAAGGCAGAGAUGAGACGCACAAACGGAUCUCGGACAAACAGGAACUUGGUGUAGUGUUGGAGCUUGAGCGCCAUCAGGUGGCGGGACAGAGAACCGUAGUGACGCCAGAACCUGGUGGAAAACAUUGAGACAGACGGCUCCUCAGAGUGACAGAAAGGUCGGUCUGUGCUGCAGCACCAGGCUCCGCCUCUCUGCUCCAGCCGUCUCUUCCAUGUAUCAACUCAGUAAAUAACUCACAGACAACUUCUCAAACACAGGUUCAGUAGGAGUCUGUUUCUGUUUCUGUUCCUCUCCGUCUUAUCACCGUUUAAACUGAAUGAUCACUGACCAGCUGAUCAAUAAUCUGUUCCUACAAAGUCAGGUCACGUCAGCUGUGUUUGUAAAGUCCAAGAAGACACUGGACUUCAAUGAGACAAAUUGAACAAAAACA